GUGUCAGCCGCCGCGGUAAUACGAGAGGCCCAAACGUUAUUCGGAAUCACUGGGCUUAAAGAGUUCGUAGGCGGCGCGGAAAGUGGGGUGUGAAAGCCCUCGGCUCAACCGAGGAAUUGCGCUCCAAACUGUCGCGCUUGAGGAAGCUAGAGGUAAGCAGAACUGAUGGUGGAGCGGUGAAAUGCGUUGAUAUCAUCAGGAAUACCGGAGGCGAAGGCGGCUUACUGGGACUUUUCUGACGCUGAGGAACGAAAGCUAGGGGAGCAAACGGGAUUAGAAACCCCCGUAGUCC
This 292-nucleotide ribosomal RNA is filed under the name uncultured bacterium. RNAcentral's name for it is "partial 16S ribosomal RNA". It matches the Rfam family "Bacterial small subunit ribosomal RNA", at positions 505 to 796 of the family's 1533-position model. The record is from RNAcentral.